GGGUCCUUACAUGCUUAAAACCUGGGGUGAAUAGUCAACCUCUUGCAUGAGGAGUCACCUGAUUCCAUAGAAUUACUCCGGUGGAAUUAUUUUCCUUAAGAAUAAGCACCGGCUAACUACGUGCCCGCAACCGCCGUAAUACGUACGGUGCAAGCGUUAAUCGGAAUUACUGGGCCUAAACCGUGCGCCGGCGGCUUUUUAAAACCCAUGUGAAAUCCCCGGGCUCAACCUGGGAACUGCCUUCGUGACUGUAUAGCUAUAGUACGGCACAGGGGGAUUGAAUUCCCUGUGUAGCAGUGAAAUGCGUACAUAUUCGGAGGAACACCCAUGGCGAAGGCCAUCCCCUGGGCCUGUACUGACGCUCAUGCACCAAAACGUUGGGAGCAAACAGGAUUAGAUACCCUGGUCGUCCACGCCCUAAACCAUGUCCACUGGUUGUUGGCAACUCACUUACUCAAUAACCAAGCUAACCCGUCAAUUUGACCGCCUUUGGAGUACCGCCCCCAGGUUGAAACUCAAA
RNAcentral lists this ribosomal RNA (520 nucleotides) under uncultured prokaryote. RNAcentral describes it as "bacterial SSU rRNA". It matches the Rfam family "Bacterial small subunit ribosomal RNA", at positions 374 to 905 of the family's 1533-position model. The record is from RNAcentral.